Non-coding RNA from Cinara cedri, 14324 nucleotides. The record is from the annotation of a GenBank genome assembly. NCBI's taxonomy places the organism in Eukaryota, Metazoa, Arthropoda, Insecta, Hemiptera, Aphididae.
CGAUUAUAGAUAUUUAUCUAUAGUCAUGGGCCAUCUAUGAUGUGUUCAUAUCACAAUUUAAGGUCCGUGGUUUAUAUAUAUGUGAUAUCAAUACACUUUCCCUUGUGAAUUGUAAACAAUACAAGUUGAAGUAGAUCGUAAAGCGAGUUUUAAGUUUGAAAAAUCAUAAAUCUUUUAUAAAUCAAUUGUCACUUUGUCAAUAUUAUUUGACAAAAUGCAAAGGAAUAAUGAUAAAUGCGAUGUUUGCGGUAAUAAUAAUUUCAGCGUCAUGGAUGGGGCAUUCAUAUGCGACGAAUGUGGAAUACAAUCUCAAGUAAGUUUUAACAAUCUCAUGAUAUAACAGUGAAACUUCUGAAUGGCUGACAUUGAAUCACUCAAAUUGUAAUUGCUUUUCAGAGGGUGUAAAUGUUUGAAAUUCAUGAAUAUUAAAUUAUUUUGAAAGAUUGAUUAUCAUUAAUGUAUAAUUUACUACAUAAAUAGUAGGUAUAUAUAAAAUAAAAUUGAGGGAAAAAUAAGACUGACCAAAAACCAUACUUGGAAAAAGAAUCCAAAAAACCAUAAAUAUGUAUUAUACUUAUUGUUUUAAGUUAUUAAAAAUAAUUUUUUAAAAGCAUAAUGUUCAUGUAUUAUCAGUUUUAUCAGGUAUUAGUGUUUACAAAAAAAAAAUUAAUUUAAAAAAAUGUGAUAGGUAAUUAAUAGGUAAUUUAAAAAUACAAAAUACUUAUUUAGUUAUUUUCUAUUUGCACGCAAAAAUUUUGUAAGCAGUUGUCCAUUUUUGUUACCACUAUAUUAUUUAAUGCCAAUUUUAAAAACAGAAUAAUAUGAUAUGUGUAAUGUAGGUACCUCUAAGGAAAAUCUAUCUGUAUAAUAUUUAUCUUAUUUCUGAUUUAUUGCUUAAAAAUCUUCAAUAUGUACUUUUAUUGGUCAUCUAUUAAUCUGUAAAUAUAUUAGAUACCUAUAUUUGAUAAAUAUACACAAAAAACUAACAAGUAUUGUAAAAAUUUUAAUCGUAGUAAGUCAUAACAUACAAAAAUCAUGCUUUUAAAAAAUUAUUUUUAAACUGCCUGUGUUUUUUAUUAACUCAAAAAGUAUAAUAAAUAUUUAUGGUUUUUUUUUAUUAUUAAAAAAAUGUAUGUAUUAAUUUACAACGGUUUUUUUUUUUUUUGGAAGUUUUUUUCCUAAUACCAUGAAAAAAAUUGAUCAGCUGCAUAAAUAUUCUAUUUGGGGAGAAAACUUUAGGGUUGAAGUCCGGCUAAAUUCUGUGUACCUCGUAUGACCAAUAUCACUCGAUUGAAUUUUUGAUUUUCCAAUUUAGAUAUGUCUAGUUUAAAGAUGUGUAUUAGUAAAGUUUCAUCAUUCACACACUGUCUGGCUUUCGGGUGUUAAAACUAUAGUUAAAAAAAAAAAAAAUACUGUAGAGGUGUUCUAUUAAUAUAAUAUAAUUAAUAUAAUUAAUAUGACCUUAUGGCAGUCAUAAUUUUCAGUUUUUAUAUUUUAAAUACUUUUAUAUAACAUUUUGUUAGGCAAUGAAAAAAAAGUAUUGAAAUCUCGUUUAUAUUUUUGCAGGAAAUUCUGACUAGAACAUUUAUAAGUUAAGGAAAUAAAAUGAAAAAUAUAGGGGUGAUUUUUAGAUAUUUAUUUUUUUAUUUCCCCAAAAGCCAGGUUUCAACCAAAUUCGGUCCUUGACUUUGUAAAUUUCAUCUUUAUUUGAGAUCUAAUAUAUUUUCCAAUUCAACAUUUUUUAUUAUUUUAACAGAAAUCAAGAAUAACAAAUUGUUCGCUUAGAGAUAAUCAGGUUAGUUACCCUGCCACUCCAGUCUUUUCAAUGUCUGGACUUUUCAUUUUUAUUUAAUUUUUUACCAAUGAUUGUACCUACUAUAAUUGCUUUUAAAGAGUUGGACUUUGUAAAGCACAUUAUAUCCAAGUUUCACUUCUCUACUUGAUUAAAAACAAUUUAAUUUUCUCUGGUACAUUUGAUUCUUGAAUACUCUUCAGUAUUAUGGGACCCUCACACUGCAAUGCUCCCGAGUUGGUGAGAGCACAAUGACAUUUCUUCUUCUUUGCAGAUCAUGGUCUAGGUAUCAAACACCUCAGCACAAUUAUUCCAAUGUUCGACACUAUUUUGGGCUGUCAGAUGAGUGUCAGCUAACCUAUCGUUUUUGAGUAAGUUGAUUAAUAGCACAAUAUUGAUGCACCAUCACUCUUAUCCCAAGUGAACUUCAAGAUUCUUUCACGCUUCUUGUGAAUCUUUCUCCCCUUUGUAGUUCCUUUGAAUACCACAAACUAUGCUCGUAACCACCCUGAUCAUUACAUGAUGCAUCUUGCUAAUGAGCACUUAUCUUUAUGUUCUUGUACAUUUUGAACUUUAGUCUGUUUUGUAUAAGUAAAAUAAAAUAACUUUUACCCAUUUGUAUCUAAAUAUUUCUCACUGAAAAUUUUUUCCUAUAGGGUACCAGGGUACUGUUACUCCAGUACCACCACUACCUAAAAAUGUACUAUUUACAUUUUUUUUUUUUAUAUAAUUGUACUAUAAUUUGUACCAAUUUGUACUACCAAGGUCAGAAUACCUUAAUAUUUUUGUCUUUAAUAUAAAAAAAUAUUAAAAUUUUUGUUGAAACUUUUAAAAUGUAUUAUUUAAAAUAAAAUCAAAAAUGUUGUCUUAAAAAUAGUUUUUAAUAUUUCUUUUUUACUUUGUAUGUAGUAACUUCAGUAACUCAAAAUUAUUUUUAUUGGUUUCUUGAUUUGCUCUCUGAUUUGUAGUACCGAGCUCAUAAUUUGUACAAGAAUAUUUCCCACUAAAAAAUGUUUGUAGUAAAAUUUUUUAAGUAACUGGUGCUACCCUGGUACCCCAAAGAAAAAAUUAAUUUUAUAGCGAGAAAUACUCUGGUGUAAAUUCUGAACUUGGUGAUACAAUGUAAUAAAAAUAAAUUGAAAAGUCCAGACAUUGGGGUGCCCAUAUAACCCACCUGCAACAAUCUCUUUCACUUUAACACACCCGUUUAAUUGAAAAUGUAUUAUAAACAAAACAAAAAUACAAAACAUUAGCAGUCAAGACAUUGAUAUUUCCGUAAUCUUAUCUUAUUGAUAAGUAUCAACUUGAAUAUUCUAUGUUACAAAUUAUUUUUAAAACAAAACGAAAAUGUUUAAAUGUGUGAGUGUAGUCAAUAAUUAAAACAUACUGAAUGUUCUACACCAGAAUAAUAUACUUUAAAAUGUAUGCCUUAACAUAUUUGUGUUAUUGUACAUGUUUGUUAUAUAUCUGGAACCAACAAUAGUAUUGUGGACCCUUGACAUAAAUGCAGGGGAUCUUGAUUUAUAUUUUAAGUAUUGAAAUCGUAUACAAUAAAAACAAAUAUUAUUUACAUUCACAUAUUUUUAUCAUACAAAUAAUACAACUGGUUUAACAUUAUAAUUCAUAUAUACAAUUUAAAAAAAAAAUGAUUUUCAAAAUUUAAAUUAAAUAAUAGGUUUACUUGUAUUUGACUGGUUACUUUUACAGACCAUAAGAGAAGAACAAAUUAAUUUCAAUGACCAUAUUGUGACUGUGAAUAAGGAUGAUAAUGAUGAUGUAGAAAUAAUAGCUGGAACUCAAAUAAAAAAUACAAACAAACUAUUGUCAUGGGAAUGUUUCAAUUUAAUACUUUUAGGACUUACCAAUGAGAUUAUUGAACUUGGCGCUAAACCCAAUAUCAAAGUAAUAGUUUUACAAAUAUGGGUCAGAUAUUUGCAACAAAUCAAAGCAGCAUUCACAUCAAAGCAAUUUAAAAAACUUCCAAAGUUAAAUGUGAUUAAUAACAUGUAAGAUAAAAAAUCAAUUAUUGUCUAAAAUAGUUUGUUAUUGAUUUCAUCACUUAUUUUAUUAAAUUAAUAUUGUUCUAACUAUAAUAUCAUCUAUAAUAUUGCACAACAAUUUUAAAUUAAAAUAGAAGUUUCUGUGGUAUUGAAUAAUAUUGUAUGAAAACCCAAUGAGUACAUUUGCAUUUUAAUAUAAAUACACUUUUUUAGUGACUGUUCAAUUUUAUAUGGUGUUGAUAAUAUAAAACACAAAAUAUUGCAAGCGAAAACCGGAAUAAAUUGCAGAGGGAGAAAACGUCGCUUAUAUAAAAAAAGAUCAUAUUUGUCUAGUGAAUCCUCAGCCACAGUUAUAACAGCUAGUCAGAAACGAAAUAGAGUAAAUACUAUUUUAAUUUUAAUAAGAUAAGACCUAUUGCACUUUCAUUUACUGUAUUUGUCUUUCAAUUGACAACAUAUUCAAGUUUGCUUCGUAAUAUUUUUUCACAAUUGAUAAAAUACAAAAUAGAGCAAAAUAAUUAACAUUAAUUAAAAAACAAGAGGGCUGAAUACAUUAUUAUCUUUAAAGAUCUUUUUGAUAUUUUAAUUAAAAGUUAUAUUCAUAUUUUAAAAAUUAAUUUUUUUGUCUUAAAAAAAUUAGUUUUAUACUUUUAACUUUAUUGUAAUUUUAGUCUAAUCACUAAACUAGAGAAUUGUUGGAUAUUAAUAGUUUCCAUAUGUUCAGUAGAAAAUAAAGAAUAUAAGUACUAAGGUAGCACGAGUAUGAUAUCUAAUAGUUUAAACAACGUUUUUAGAUUUCCAGAAAAUUACGUAGAAUGGAUAAUUCUACAAAAGAUUCAAUGACUGGACUAUCAGAUGAUGUUAGUUUAUUGCAAAGAAGUCAAAAGCCAAGUAGGAUCAAGUAAGAUGAUUAUAAAUAAAUUACAAAGUUUAUAUUAGGGUGUAUCAGGAACUUUUUUAUCAGAUAUUCUACUUCUUAUUCCUUAGAGCAGUGUCCUGUGAAUAACUAGCAGGGGUUCCAGGAAGCCCCGGAAAAAGUUAAUUAAAAUUCUACCACAGUUAACCAUUUAAUGAUAACAGUAAUGAAAAAAGCAGCAUUGGCAUGCCAUAUAUAUGCUGUGCUGCAAUGCAGUGAAUACCUAUUAAUGAUUUUUUCCUAGUUACCUAGUCAUACAUGCGCGUAUAAUAAUUUAUUACAUUUAUUUUAAUACUAUGACUACCAAUAUAAUUAAACAAAAUAGAUUAAAUUUCUUUUUAAAUACAAAAUAAUGUUUUUAUAUUUUAGGGAUCCUCAUAAAAAUGUAUUAUUAUUUGGGGUUCCUUAAUCCCAAAACAAUAUUUUGUUCAGACUUGAAAUGAUUUUUUAAGGUCUCAAGCAUUAUUUUCUAAAAAAAGAAGUAGAGUUGUUUUUGUAUUUAUAUAAGUAAUAAUUUUUAAAUUAUGAUCAUUGAAUUGAAAGUUAUCAGAAAAAGAAAAAAACUGAGGUACUGGGGGCAGGUAUGCCACUGUUAUGGGUGAGAAGGUAGGAUACAUACAUAUUUUUUUUAUAUCUGUAAGCAAUGAUAAACCAUUGCUACUGAAAAUGAUUCAAAGUCGAUUUCAAUUAUACAUGUUUUGUUGAAAGGCCAUAAUAUUUUCGUCAAAAUUUAAUAUUAAAAUUCUUAUUUAAAAAAAAAACAUUACAUUAAAAUUAUUUUUUUUUUUUUGACCACAAAGUACACCUUAUAAUAAAUCUGUUGAAUUUUGAUGUAUUUCUGAUUAAUCUAACAAUUUUAUCCACUGACAACCUACCAAAUAAUUGUUUAUAAACUCUCAAAAAUUAAAAUGUCUAUGAACAGCUCAAAAAUGGCUCAAAUUUAUUCGAAAAUUGUUCUAUUUCUAGAAAAAGUAUUUGUAAGUUUUCUGUCAAAAUUUUAAGUUUUUAUACAUUUUUAUUUGAAUAACAACAAAAUUUAAAAUAUUAAAGGUAUUAUUUUUGUAAAUCUUCCUGUUCUUUCUACAAUUUUUUUUUGGUUUUGCUUAAUUAUUAGAAAACCUAUAGGAGAAAAUUAAAAAACUACUUUUUUACUUACCAACUAAAUUAAAAAUACAGCAAAAAGGUCACUUGUUGUUUUUAAAAACACUAGUUAAAGGUGGUUUCAAGAAUUUAUUUAUCCAAAAAUUUACUUUCAAUGGCCUAAAUAUGUAGUAAAAUUUAGAAUAUUAAAUUUGGCAAAUAUGAUAAAUGUUCUUUUCUUCUGCUAAUUUUUGAUAUAUACCUUAAAACCUUUUACCUCAAAUAUUAUUAUUUAUAUUUAAAAAAAAACGCAUUUUUUCCUAAUUUGUUAAUGAUGAUAAAAUUCAUUCCUUGUUCAAAGUCUAAAAUUAGGGGACAUUAAGCUGUAUGGAACACAAUUUUAUGGAUUGAAGAAUAUCUAAUAAAAAAAAAAAAAAAAAUCCUGAAACACUAAUUUAUAUAUUUGUUUGUAUUUUCAAAACAACAUUUUGGUAUUUUAGGAUCAAAUUUACCAAAAAGGUAAAGACAACUUUAAAAUCAUUACCUUCUAAGACUGAUGAUCUUUCUACUGAAGAAACAACAAAUCUACUUAGAGAUGGAAAAAAAUGUUGGUAUAAAUUAAAAACUGUUGAAAAAAAGAAUUUUAUAAAUAUAAAGAAAUUAAUAUCUAUUAUACAAUUAGCUCUCAUGAUCAAUAACGAUGAUAUUUUUAUGUCUGAUAUAAUGAGGUAUAUUCUAAUAAUAUUAUUUUAAAAUUGUUUUUAUUAAAAUUUGUUUACUUUUAUUCAUUAACUUGCUAUAGAUGGAUUCAUGAAGGACAUUUGCAUGUAAAUCGUAUUGAUAUGUAUUUACCAGAAAAUGUAGUGCAUGGUAUUAAUAUUUGUAAAAUGGUUAAUAUUUCUUCAAGAAAAACAUUAAAUUUUGAAUUGGGCCAAAUAUUUGAUGUUUUCAAAAUUAACUAUUUACCUAAUAUUGAUUUCAAAAAAUUAGUAAUUCGUUUUUGCGAUGAACUUCAACUUCCAAGUAAUUAAUUGCUAGCUAAACUAUAAAAGUAUUUUGUAUUAACUUAAUUUUAAUUGAAAUCUAGGUGAUUUUACAAAUUUUGUUUGUAAACUCGUGUUAAUAUCUCCUCCAGAUUUAAAAUUAAUCCACUUAUUAAAUGAUAUUGAAAUAAAAGCAAUGUCUUACAUUCUUUUUGCUGCCAAAUUUCUAUUUACUCUUGACGGUAAUGCAGAAAAUUUAUCUUCAGAUUUUGCUGAAAAAGUCAACUUGUAAGUUAUUUUUAUUUUUUAAUUACACCAAUUUAUAGAUCAUUGGCUAUAAUAACAGUGUUUAUUACAUUUCUAUAUUUAUAAACAAAUCAUCUUAAUGUUGUAAACUAUAUUUGACUCUUAGGUUUUUUUACCCUUUGAAGCUUAUCUCCUUUCAUUCAAACAGUUUAGUAUAAUAGCAAUACAUUUCAUUAUCUUACUGUAUCCCUUAUUUAGAUUUAAAAACUUAACAAGUCUAUAUAUUUAGUUGUAGACCUUGAGAAAUUGUUUUCCUUGUAUUACCUCCCUAAAUAUUUGUGGUAAGUACUUUUUUUUUAAUGUUUUUUCCUAUAUGUCUCUUAAAGUUGCCUCACACUGGAUUAGAUCGGUUAGGAAACGUCACGUCGGAUUGGAAUGGAACCAAAUUGUUUGUCGACAAUAUUUUGACAGAUUUGCAUCCACACUGAUACAAAUAUACGUGCCAUCUUUUGGUUAUCAUCGUUUUGUAAUUAGUUGUAUGUAAAAAAUUGAAAGUUUACAACAAUAAUUUUUUUUUUAUUAUAAGCAUUUUAAUAUUUUUUUGAUAAAAACAACUUUGACAUAAACAAUUAAAAUAUCUCAUAUGAAAAAUGUAUUCGUGAAGUGCAGAAAUAUUCAUAUUUAUAUGACAUAGGUCAUAUAUACUAUUACGACUCCGUUUUGAAAGAAAAUACCUCAUUACAUUAAUAUUACAGUUUUUCACAUGCAUAUUGAAAUUUUUUAAAUUAAAUAGCAAUAAAUUAAAAUUAAAACUAUUUAUUGUCAAAUUAUAAUUAAUUAAAUACUGACCUCAGUGUUACUGCUAACCGUUCGACUACUGAUAUACAUUUUCUAAAAUUUGUGUUUGUUUUUUGUAUAUCGGGUUUAUAUGCUCUAACAAUUGGCAAAAUUGUUUGUAACUUAUUCGGAAAUAUUGAAAAAAUUGUUUAUUGUCCUGUUUUAAAUCUAGGAAUAGUUUAUAGAACUCUCCUUUUUUCCUUGCCAUAUGCAUGCUAUGAAUCCACUAUCUUUUCGUUGUAUAUUUUUCUUUUUCUUCAGAUUCUAACAAAAGAGCUAGUGUGAAUAUCAUGUCUUUUGUUACUACUUGUAUCACUCAUUAUAUUAUAUUAUUAUUUAUAUUUUACAAACACUCAAAAAUAUUAAAUAUAAUUAAUGUAAUAAUGAGCUUUAUUGAUUUCAACCAUUGAGCACGAGCAAUGAGAUCAAAAUGGCCAAGAAUAUAUGGCCGCGGAAUUCAAGCUGAUUCCGGCAUAGUGUGCAGACAAAAUUUGUUUCCGUUCUGAUGAUGUAAAUUUGUUUCCUUUACGCUCCUAUCUAGUGUGUGGCAACCUUUAUAAUGAUCUAAUGUUUCAUGGUUUUGCUUCCAAAAUAUCCAUAUUCUAAUAUUUUAUCUAUUUUGAAAUAAAUUGAAUCCUCUGUGUUAUAUGCUUAUAAUAUUGUUAUUUUGUAUAUAUUAUAGUAAGAUUUAAUUUGUAUGUAAUAAUAUUUAAACGUAGAUCAAAUAAAAUAGAUAAAAAAUUGUUCAACUGGAAUGAAUAUGUCGAAUACAUAGAAUGUAGAAAUUCAGUCUUAUCUGAGUACAACUAUAUGUUGCAUAAAGAUUUAUAUGGAAAUAGUAUACGCAAAACUCAGUUAUUUAUCAAUGAUUGGAACAUUAAGAAGUCGACUAUGCCAAUAGUAAAAAGUAAUAAUCUCAUUAACCUUUUACUUAAAUAUUUAUUUAUUUAACCAAAAUGUUGUUUAUACUGAAUAGCUGAACAAUUAAGUAAGGGCUUUAGAGAAAGUACUGAAUGUUUAUUAAAAUCAUUGCCUAGAGAUAAAAAAGAAAAAAGUUAUAGAGGAAUUCCUGCUUCAACCAAACCAUUGUCAUCAACUUUAAAAUGGAUAUUUGAAUAUUAUUCAAUGCAAUUAAGUGACGAAACAAAAAGAAUACUAAAACAAAAUUUUAUUCAAACUGAUAUUUUGUAUUUAACUGACAAAAACAGGUACUUUUUUACACAAUAAAAUAUCAAUAUCAAAUAACCAAUUUUUAAAUUAUAGCAAAUUUACACUGCUGUAUGAUAAGCCUAAAGCUACUAUAAAAACAAACUUUUUCUUUUUACAAUAAUCAAUUAACAGAAUUUAUGAACUGUGUAAUUUACAAAUUAUAUUUAUUAAAUCAGUCAUUAAAUUAAUAUAUAUAAUUGAUUAUUUGAAAGCAGUGCCAUGCAUAGUGGGGAGAUUAAAAGUUUAUCCCCAUUGAUUUAAAAAUGCAAACAAAAUUAAGUAUUUAUUUAGUAAUUUAAUCUUGAAAUUUAUAUAUUUUAGUUGAGGAAAAGCUUGAUGUAAAUAAUAAUAAUAGGUAAUAUUAUCUCAUAUUUUACAAUAUUAUAGUAAAUUUUUAUUUUUGUAUUGUACACACAGAAAUGGCUGGCUGGUUUGAUAUUAAAAUAUUUUAAAUUCUAACUUUUUACAACACAACAUAAAAAAUUCCUAAAAAAAAAAAAUAUGUAUAUAUUUCCUAUAAUAUCUAUGGUGCUACUAUUUUAGGGAAUUUCCUACUAUUAAUUUUAUUAAAAAUAUUUAAAAUUAGCAAAAAAGAAAACAAUUGAUUAAACUGAAUUUAAUUGUUUAUAAAUAAAUAAAAUGUUAUAUAGAUGACAUCAUUUAGUUAAUAAGAAAACUGUACGUUUUCAGUAUUGGAUGUGUGUAUAUUUUUUUUAUACAAAAGAUCAAUGUUAUUAUUAUUGAUAAGCAUUUUAUACUUAAUAAAUAUAUAAAUUUCAAUUACUCUUAUUGUUUCAUGACUAAAUAAAAUGCAUUCACAGACUAUGUAUUUAUUUAUUAGUAUUACCUUAUAAAUAACAUUUUCAUUGGCUAGACUGUUUAUUGAUUGGGGGAACAUUGAUUAUAAUUACAAAAUGCUUUACAGGGUUUGUUUGAAUACUCACAGUCAUUUUAAAUGAAAAUAUAAACAAAAUUGUUUGAAUAUAGAAUAUAAAAUCAUUAAAAUUAAAAUGUGUACAGUACUAUAGUUAUUAAAAACUAGAUUAGUUAGAAAUAAGCACUAAAAUAAAUUGGAAGCUACAAAUCUAUUAAAAUAUUUUAAAAUUAUAUUAAAUUUAAAUUACAGUAUAAAAAUUAAUUUUAAUUAUCAACACACAUUUGUUUAUAAUUUACAUUUUAAUAUCAAUAUUUUUUUAGUUUAUUUUUAAGUUUAAAUGAACUUGAAAAUAAUUAAUUUAAUCAACAAAAAUAGUAUUUUUAUAACACAAUAUUUUUUAUUUUAUAUUGUAUAUUAUAUACAUAGGAUUCACCAUUUAAUUAUCAGUUAUACACCCACAUAUAAAGUCCAACCAUCAAAAUUAUAUUACAUGGCCAUACUUUGCACAUUUUUAAUUUUUAAAAUAGUUUAAUAUCCAGCGGACAGCGUCAAAUAAAUAAAUAACAUAGUGGUAAUAAUGGUGUGUGAGAGUAGGUAACGAAAAUGUCUUACUAACACAUUCAGCUUACAAUUAUGCAAUAAAUAAGAUAUUGAGGAACAGAAGAGAUUUAGGGUUAAAAAAAGGAAUAAUAAUAAGUAUUGGAGUUGUAAAUUAUGAGGGAGUAAUUAUGAUAGGGGUGGAGGGUUAUGGUAGGCAUUUAAUUUGACAUGGUAAAUGCAUCAAUGCGAGUUAACUCUGAUAGGGGUGAACGUAUCAGUUAAAAUAAAAACAAAAAUACAUAUAUUAUUUUGAGAACACAGGGAUGAAAUAAUUUGUAUAUUUUUGUUUAUUACUGUGUAUGAGUAAAGCUGUGCAUGACUUAGAUAAUAAAAUUAUAUUAUGUAUUAAUAAAUUAUAAUCUCUGAAAUAUUAUUAUUUAAUUACAUUGUAUUUCACUUAUUUCUAAAAAAAAAAAAUAGUAAUAAUUUUUUUUUUACAGAAUCCAAAAUUUAGCUGAUGAGUGUAAUAUUCCUAUAAAAGUUAACUGUAAUAUGCCAUUGCAUUACACAAAACAAGUCACUGCAUAUAGUUAUUUUACUAGUAUUCUUAAGCAUACUGCACAAAUGAAAACAUUUACUAAUGUGCAUAUAAUUGAUGAACCGUUAAACGAAAAUAAGCAGAACAAAACUUUACAUUCUAAUUUUAUUGAAGAAAUACCAAAUACAAUAUUUUUAGGAACAGGCAUCAACUAUUGGUACUUACAUAUAGAAAAACUUCAAAAUGCUGAUAUUAAUCAAUCGCACACAAUUUUAAAACAUCAAUUACCAUAUUCGUUUUUUUGGUUCAUGCAGCAAUGUGGUAAGAUAUUAGAUUGCCAUCAAUCUGAAUUAUAUCUGGAACUCAUGCAUAUAGAGGAUAUAUUUAUGAAAUUUUUUGAAAGAAAUGAAACAAGCAAUCAAACAACAGAUUUUGAAGAAAUGUUAUCUAAUAUUACUUUAUAAUUAAUUUUCUAGGAACUCAUUAAUUUUAAAAUAUCACCGUAAUAAUAAAAAAUCAAUCUCAUCAACACAGUUUUCACCAAAUAAAGUGAAUCUUGUAUUAUUUAUUGAGAUCUGUAUUUCGCUGACUAAAUAAUAAAGUCUUGGCAAAAAUUUAUUUCAACCAGCCUAUCAUGAACACCGAUAGUAAUUUUUUGAUGUUGGCAUGUUAACAGACAAUUUUACAGUAAAAUCAAGAAAACCAAUAAAUUGUAUAUCUGACUGAUUAUUUUUAUAUUGCUGAGAAGAAAACCAUUUGAAAAUGUACGUGAUCAAUAUAGAAAAAAAUAUUGUCCAAUUUUAACCAGAAACAUCCAUUCUGCUAUGCUUAUUCAGAGAUGGUUUUUUUUAUGGUGGAAUUUAAAAUGCUUUGAUUUAAAGUAGUUUGAUAAGUAAUAAAUCAUUUAAAAAAGUUAAGUAAUUGGAUUUCAAUAGAGAAAUAAACCACAAAUUAUGCUCCAUGACACUUCCCCUACCUUAACUUGAAAAUGAAAUAUUUUGUCAAUGGAUUAAUGGAAAUCAACAGUUUCAAGACCAAGAAUUUUUUAAAGUAAUACUCCAUCCAUUAAUGGAAUUUUUAGCAUAAUUUUAGUUUAGCUCUUGUGUGAAUUCUAUUAAUCAUUAUUUUUUUUCAAAAUGUGUAUUUUCACAUGUACAUUGAAAAUGUAAAAAUAAUCAGACAUACUCCGUUUAGAAGUUAGGGGGAAAACUUCAUAAAGUUUGCUUUUUACAUUACGUGUAUUUCUUCAUUAGAAUUUAAUAAUUUCAAAAAUAUAUUUUUCCUGAAUGUGUUGUUUUUAAUGAUUAAUCAAUAAGUAUAAUCAAAAUUUAACUAUAUAAUAUUUACUUUAACAUUUUUUGUAAAAACACAUUUAUAAAUAUAGUGAAACCUCUAUUCAUGGACACCUCUCAAUAGUGGACACUUUUUAAUUCCCCGUCAAAAAUGUAUGUACAUAAUAUGAGUUAUAGCCUCUUAAUAGUGAACGUAACCACUAAAAACUGAUACCAAAUUUAAAAAUUACCUCUUAUAAAUUAACACAUUACAUGCCCAUACCAAAAAUGUUCAAGUAAUAAAAAUUACUAUACACAUUUAUUUUAUAUACAUUUCAUUGAUAUUUUAUCUUAUCUUAUCUUAAGAAAACGUUAUCCCGCAUCUUCUUGUCUUCUGUCUCAGUCCAACUACCAGGGGGUAACAUGCAAAACAGUGCUUACACAGAAUAAGUAAAACUUGCUUAAUUUUGAUUUUAGAGUAAAAGUGCCUAUUAAGAAAUUCAUAGAGAACAAUAUUUUGAAGGGAAUGUCAUGGGUGUUUUUUGAUUUAUAAACUAUUGAAAAACAAAAAAAUAAAGGUUUUUAUAUCUUUUAUAACAAGCUUUUUAUUUUGAAAUAAUAUAACCUAUAGAGAACAUUUUUUAAUUCCCCAUGGAUGUCCACUAUACAGAAGUUUCACUGUAGGUUUUUGAAAAGACGUAUAUUUCAAUGCUGAUUGGUUUUACUAUGAUGUGUUUUUUAUAUUUUUUUUCUGUCCAUGGACAACUUUUCUACUUGUAAAACUUGCACCGAAGUAUAGACUUUAGCCCCUUUUCUGAAAGGUAAUUUUCUCUAGUUGAUACGUUAGGGAGCUAAUUUUUCCGACGGUUUUUUCUAAGCAAUUGGGAAAAUCCGAAAGAAAAUGAUAUGUAAUAUGGCAAAUAUGUACGGCAUUAAUGUUUUCAUUUUUUUAUUAUAUUUAGACAAUGUUUUCAACCAAAAAUAUUGCUCUAAUUCAUAAAUGACCAGAGAUCAAUUUUGUUCCUAAUAAUAUUUCGCCACUGACAGAGUAAGUCAUUUUUUUCGAUAUCUUAAGUAUUUUACAUAACAAUUGAGAAAACCAAAAAAAGAUGAAAUAUACAAUUUUUUUCAAAUUACAGCACAACGAUUUUAUUAUUUUAAAUUUGUUGUAUAGCUUAUUUUUUCUCCCAUAAAUAUUGUCCCAAUUAAUAAAUCAUAGUAAACAUUGUUCAUUUCAUUUUUAAUCUAUUGGUAGUCUAAAUCAUAUUUCGUUAUAACAGUUUAUCGUUGGUCACAGGUAUAAAUUAAUUAACUAUGUAUCCCAUUUUCCUCAAACCCAACUACAACAAUGGUCGCACCCGUCCACAGAUUCACCUCUUUUUUCUUUUUUUUUUAAUACAGAUUUUACAUAACAAAUCGGUGUUUAUUUCAUAUUUGUUUAGUUUUAUAGUUUUUCAAGGUUUAUAUACAAAAACUAUAAAAUAUAAGUUUUGAAUACACUAUGAAUAUUAAUUAUUCAUUAAAAAUUACACAUUUAGGAAAUACAAACGUUUGAAAAUAUUUAAUUAGAACUAUGGCUAAUAAAAUGAAGCACAAAACGUUACCAAUAAUGUUAAAAAUAAUGUUUUAAAUGUGAAAAUGCAUUUGUUGUGUUUUUAGGAAUGUGUUUACGAGUAUAAAUCGAACAUAACGCGUAGUUUUAAUACAAUGCGUACUCGUCCGUUUAACCAGCAACUACUAGCGGUGAAAAUACACAAUCCGACAAAAUACCGCUCGAAAUUUCCUGAACAUGCCACUGAAAUCCCCAUAAACAGUGAAUACUGGAUAAAAAUAAUAAAUGUAAAUAUAAACACAAUAGGUAAUCGUUCCCCAGUCGACGCACCGCUACUCCCUGCUCUGCGUCACUGAGCUUAUCUAUGAAUCUGUAUUCUAUUUUCGCAAAAAUGUACCGCUAAUAUUUCACCGUGCGCACGAAAUUCCGCUGAUCAUAUCAUUUAUGAAGAUAAUUGUUAAUUGUAAUUUAAUAAAUAUACAC